Long non-coding RNA from Neoarius graeffei (lesser salmon catfish), 6857 nucleotides. RefSeq lists it as uncharacterized. The transcript is spliced from 5 exons. The record is from RefSeq and is a predicted model, not a curated record. NCBI's taxonomy places the organism in Eukaryota, Metazoa, Chordata, Actinopteri, Siluriformes, Ariidae.
CCCCUUCGCCCCGGCUGGGACGAGAGUUGAAUAUUCCGUUGGUCUUUAACAUGAACUUAGGUGCGGAUGGGGGGGGGGGGGGGGGGUGCAUGUUAAGUCAACACUUGUGCCUCUGUGCACAAUGUUUGCACCGAAAAAGUUAACAUGACAUUCCCAGCAAUAAUAAAUAAAUAAAUAAAUAAACAAACAAAGUGAGACGUUCCACUACUGUAAUAAAUUAGCGCCAUCACCCCCACCCCCACACACCCCCACUUUGGUUUGUCUGAUGGUGACCUAGCUGGGGGCAGACAUUUUGACCUUUAUUAUUGAUCAUUGACCCAUUCAUACCAGCGUUUGAUUAUUGAUUAUUGAAAAUUGCUAAAAGAAACAAUGACCACCAGAAAAAAGAGUGCCAUUUGGAAUUUCUUUAAUCCAUCUGGAGACACCUCAGCGGUAUGUACAACCUGUAAGGCAACCAUCUCAUUCAAAGGAGGCUCAACAGCAAAUUUACAUCGCCAUCUGAAGAGCAGGCACCCAACCCUGCAGUUAGCGGAGGUGAGGAGGGGGCAGGAGGGGACAGGAGGACAGGGGGCAGGGGCCAGGGGACAGCAGGCACUACCUCCAACCACAUCUGCAAGGUCAAGGGCUGCCGAACAAGUGCCGAUGACACAGUUUUUACAUCGACCAAUGAAUGCCGUGUGGCAAAAGGAGGUGGAUGAGAAGUUGAUCAAAAUGAUCACUACUGACCUUCAGCCAUUCUCUGCUGUGGAGGACAAGGGGUUCAGGGAAUACACGAAGGCCUUAAAUCCUUCCUACACACUGCCUGGCAGGAAGGUGCUCUCGCAGACCAUGGUACCGGAUCGGUUCUUUUAGUGCCAGGCCAAGGUGAAAGGGAAAGUGGCACAGGCUGCAUCAGUAUGCCUAACCACCGACUGCUGGACAUCCCGGACGACCACCAGCUUUUUGUCAGUGACCUGCCACUACAUUGAUGAGGAUUUUGAGAUGGUCAGCUAUCUGCUGGACUGUUUUGAAUUCUCAGACCGGCACACAGCAGACAACCUGGCAGAGCAGCUAAGCAAGAUUGCGGAGGAGUGGGGCGUCUCUGAUAAGGUGGUGGCCUGUGUCACUGACAACGCUGCCAACGUUGUGGCAGCUGUAAGGAAGCUAGACUGGAGGCAGUUGUCCUGUUUUGCCCACACACUCAAUUUAAUUGUUAGAGGGUCGCUGGGUGUGAUGGAGGGCACUGUGGAGAAGGUGAAAGCAAUAGUGCAGCACUUCCAUAAAAGUACCGUGGCAGCAGAGAGGCUGAGAGGGACACUCAGAUAAAUGCAGCUCCCAGACCUUAAGUUAAUUAUGGACUGUCCGACAAGGUGGAACUCCACCUUGUACAUGCUGAAGCGGUUCAGCCACAUGAAGGAUGCCACUGUGAGCACCAUGGCCCUCACAAAUCCUAGCAUGGCAACCCUUUCCCCCAACGAGUGGGAAGCCAUCACGGAAGCGUGUGAGGUGUUGCAGCCUUUUGAGGAGGUCACCACAGAGAUCAGCGCAGAGAGAUACGUGACCGCCUCAAAAAUUAUUCUGUUGGCAAGGGGGCUUCAGCGCAUGACGGCCAACAACUUGAGGGCAACUUGACCUCCUGACAGCCCUCAACGGCCUCAUGGCCAAAAGGUUUCACAGGAUGGAAUUUAACACCCUUCUGUCAGAGGCAUCCUACCUGGACCCCCGUUUCAAGAAGAAGGCCUUCUCUGACGACCACGCUGCCUCUGAGGUCACGCAGAGGCUGACUCAAGCAGCUGCUCAAGUGCCAAUCAGUGGAAGCCAGAUUGAAGGUGUGGCAGAAGAUGGAGCGUCAUCAGCCUCAGCCAGUGAGAGCAUGAUCUGGAAGGACUUUGAUGACCAGGAGUCGGGCCUCGUCUCUCAGGGAAGUAGCUCUGCUGAGGCGAUCCUUGAGGUGCGGGCUUACUCUCAGGAGUCCCUCCUACCAAGGUCUCAAAAUCCACUUGCCUGGUGGAAGAGUCGCAGCACCAUCUAUCCCCGGCUGACUGCUUUGAUGAGGCAGAGGCUGUGUGUCACCGGCUCAUCAGUUCCGUCAGAGAGCGUGUUCAGUAAGAUGGGAGGGAUAAUUACUGACCGCAGGAGCAGGCUCAAGUCCUCCAAAGUUCGGCAGCUGGUCUUCCUCAACGCCAACUGGAAUGAAUGAAUGAAUGAAUGAGAGAGAAAGAGAGAGAGAGAGAGAGAGAGAGUUCAUUGAGCUGUUUGUUCUUUGUCAUUUGUAUUGACAGUUACAGUUGAUGUUCUAUUCCUUUUCUAUUCCUAUUAUCUAUAAAUUACAAUCUUUCUGACCCACAACUCAGGAGUAUACAUCGCCCUUUUUUGCUGACAUUACACACCCACCAUAUUAAAUGAUUUACUUAAACUAUCUUUACAUUCAACACACUUAUAACUAGUUUUGCCAUGGUUUAACCAUGCAUGGUGUCUACAGGUUUGACCAAGUGAAAAUUAAGACAUUAUUAUUAGACAUUUUAGAGCAACACGCAAGAUUAUACACGUGAAAAUAAAGCUGAAAAAUCUUUGACCAGAAACGCACGUGAGGCACGUGCUAAAGCCCAAAAUCCAUGCAAGUGAUACUCUCUCUGUAUGUGGCUACCAAACUGCUUUCUUUUUUUAUCCCCCAAAGUUCAAAGAGACAUGAAUGUCAAUGAUUCCUCUGCAAAAUUUUAAAACAUUUGGGUUUGAAAUUUUAAGACAUUUCAAGACUUUUCAAGGCCUUAUUUGACAAAAAAAAUAACACAAGACUUUAAGGACUCGCGGCCACCCUGGCAUGGCAUGUCAUAGUAACUCUGGAUUAAUUAAAUGGCGCUCAAUUGCCCAAAAAACGCCAUGAAAGCCAUGGUUAUUUAGCCAUAGUAAAAGCAUGGUAGAAUUUCGUAGGGUUAGAUGCACCAUGCUACCGUCAUCUUCUCAGCCGAGGGGAUUUAUUUGGCCGCGAAACAAACUUCGACUCCGCCCGAACAGGUGGCAUGCUAACAGCCUUAAUCACAUUAACAAAGCAGAUGGUUAUGGUGGCAAACAUUAAUGGUAUGGUGGUACACGGUCACGUCCGUGUGAUAUUCGACAAGGGGGUAAACCGACAUGGUUGGUCAGGUGGUUCUACAAAAUAUUUUUGCACGAACUAAAAGUACACGACGUAGUACAUCAGAGCAUAACUCCGAAAACCAAAGGAGCUACAUGUCUGGUCUUACCUUAGCAGUCGAGCAAAAACAGAUAUUCCUGCGUUUCAAUUUUAAAUUGGUGGCCUCAGACUGAGAGCUCUAAGCAACUUGGCAAUAAUAAACCAUAUAAAACAACAAUGUAUUUCAUACAGCCAUCAUGAUUUUACCUGUCGAGUUAAGAUGAUGAAUUGUCUCUUCUCAACUUUGUCGGCAUCCCCCUCCCUCGUCCGCGUCAAGGAGAGAAAAGGAGGUCUCUUGCUCGAACAGCUGGAAAAGGUCUCGCUAGACGUGACGUCAAUCGAAUGUUCGUGCAUAACAACCGUUUCCAUGUCCAUGACCAGGACAAACAAUGAAUGAUCAUGAAUGCAGCAGAGAGACAUCGCAGGCUACUGUUCGCUGAAUACGAUGACUUGUAAAAUUGUUUAUUCUCUGAAAUGAGUGUUGCUGUUAAAUAAGCAAUUUUUUUUUUUUUUGCUUAAUGGGUUUGAGAGAACAACUGCAUAGCCGGCAGACCAUGGCUCUACUAAAAUAAAUAUAAUAAAUAUAAAAACAGCUUUAUUCUCAUCUACAUUUAAUUAACUUUCAGAGCUUUGUUUAUGUAGUCUUUUUCAGAUAAUGCUAGGAUAAUGUUUUUCUUCCAUCUUUUUCUCAAGCACAUUGUAAUGUAUGAAAAUCUAUUGUGGAUGGCACCUCUGCCACCUCUCGUUCACUCAAGAUGAACUAAACUUCGGACGACAGCCAUUGUUGUGCCGCUUUGGUGUGAUGUCAUCAAAAUGAACGAGUGAACGAACUGAACGAACGAAUUUCUUUGCUGAACUGACCGACAUGAACGAACUGGCGGAAAUGAAUCGCCAUGUCCCACCAAUAAUUCCGCUGGCAGUUCAAAAUCCGGUCGUGAAAACUCCGUCCGGAAAGCCAUAAGGGUCACAAAUCUGUAGAUCGUUUAUUUUAGACAUAUAUCUAGUUAUCUGUUCAUUAGAAAAAUGAGCCGUGUAGUCCGUCGGUUGAAAUUGAUCCAUUCUGUACACGAGUGCAGCAGUAUUCAGCGGUGUUUUUGACCGACAAGAUGGGGGUUGUCUACUUUCUGGUCACGUGACUGCAAGAUCUCUAUUGGCCACCAGCAAAGAUGAACUCGACAAGGGCAGCCAUAAAGCAAAAGGACCCUUGCACUGACUGGGUGACACACGAAGUGACCGUGAAGAGAAAAGCUGGUAAUGUGCCCAUGUGUAUUUUGUAUUAUAUUAUCUUACAAGAUGAGUUCAUUGUAGAUUUUGUUUAAAGGUGCACUAUGAGUUCCUGCAUUAUCACUUCCGUUGACAUUCCAUGUAAAUACCUAAAAUGCUAUACGAAACGGUACUCUCAAAUUCCAGUAACUAAAUCAACUUUGCUCACUGCCCCCACCAAUAUGUGCACACUCACUAACCCCUACCCCCUCCCCUGACCAUGUUGUUGAUUGGCUGGAAGUGGUUUAUGUUUUGGUGCACAGCCUGUGCCCAGUGUUUGUUUGAUGUGUACAACCCCCUUGUUGCCUCCCAAGACAAUUUGUUUGUUUGUUUGUUUGUUUGUUUGUUUGUUUGUUUGUUUUCUUCUUCAAAUUUUUCAUGGGGCUGGCAGAAAACUGAUCAAGGGGAGUUGCUCUACGGUUCGAUACAAAAAAAUGAAAUUGUGUUAAAAACCAUGCAAGGACUCAUUUUCCACCUUUAAUUUUGCUCUGAAUGAAACUAAUUGCCACUGAUUUGUCUGUCUCCCACAGCAACAUAUGAAAUUGCUCGCUCAAAGUUAGUGGAAUAUGAACAGAAUACAGAUGUAUCAACCAAGCCUGAGUCUACAGAGAAUAUGGGCAGGGGGAAGCGCAAAAGGAGGUUUACCAUCCAAACGAGAUCACAUGGGAUUACCUUUCACAGGCAAGUGGUCAUGUCCAGCGAGGCUGAAGAUGAGGAUGACGAUGACAUCAACAAUCAGGCAUCUCCAUCACCUCCGAGGCCUCCAUCUACUCUGAGAUGUAUGCAGACCCCUCCCCCCCUCCCCCCACGGGUCUCUGCAGACCCCUCCACCCCCCCACGGGUCUCUGCAGACCCCUCCACCCACCCACGGGUCUCUGCAGACCCCUCCACCCCCUCCACCCACCCACAGGUCUAUACAGACCCCUGCACCCCCUGCUCCUACCCACGGGUCUUCAACCCCAAGACGAGACAUUUGGGAUAGCAUGUUUGUUCGCAUUUUGACCCUCCUUGAGGAGGUGAAAGACACACAGAGGAACCAUGGGAGGAUUCUCCAGGCACUUCUCCAAGAUCGACACAACAUUGCCAACCCCGUUUGUUCUACUCCAGAGGGUUUCCCCCUCAAGACGGUUAAUGAAGUCGACUGCAUGGAAGAAAAACUGGCAAACCCUAGCCUGGGAAAUCCCAUGCUGCUUUGCACAAUCGUUCCAAUCUGAAAAGACAGCAUGGAAACUAUGGUCUAAAGGCUCGCCUGAGUUAGGGAGCCAAUCAGAGAGUGGGGAGGGGUGGAAAGACGGUGACGCGUACUACUCGACAAACGGAAGCUUGUAGUUUAUUUGGGACUGUUUACAGAUCACAUUUAACAUGGCGGCGAGCGAUACGAACCAAACUUUCGAUCAAGCUUUAGACACUGUUCUGAAUAGUUUAGAGCUAAAGUUUGUUUUAAAAAAAGAACAGCAUUUGGCAUUUCAGUCUUUCUUUGCCUCUUCGUCUUCUUCAUCGCUCUAACUACGUCACCGGGUACAACUGCCAUGAUUGGCCAUGGGCUAUGUAUACGCCAAAUGAUAGACAUUCGCAACGUCCAAUAAACGGCCGUUGACAAUCGUAAACCACACCUCCCCUACGAGAAAUUCAAUAGGCGGAUUCCAGACCAUAUUUCACUUGUGAUAUGGUCUGGUGUUAACCAGACUAGGCAAACCCCACCUUCAUGUCAGAACUGGUAUGUAUGUUAAAUGUAUUACAGUAUGUGGACUGAAUCAACCUGUUGCCCUGUUGUUUCACGUUGCCAAGUGCUGUUGAAAGUUAUGAGAACAGUGUGAAAGAGUGGUCUGCACACUGGGUAUACGCUCCAAAAACACUUUAUUAUUUAACUAUAAGGCAACAUUUCGAUCCACUAGUGGGAUCUUCCCACUCUUUCACACUGUAUCUACUACUGUAUGUGCGCACCCUAACUUUCAAAUAUCCAUGCAUCUGGCAGUUCUUUCAUGUUGAGAGGUUUACUCCAGUGAGGAAUAUAGAUUGACCUGCCUUGUACUGCCUUUGUUCCCUCUCAGAUUGCAGCUGUGGCGGACAUUGGAGGGGGCACUGUUGACGGGGCCACGAGAAGGAUGAUGGCGUUCCUCAUUGACCACAACCUAUCCAGACAGUACAACUUCGUGGGGAGAAACGGCAAGAGAGGAUUCAAGCCCCUCAAGCUGUUUGAAGUAAUUUAUGGAGCCUUGAAGAAGAAUGCAAUGACCAGUCAGAUCAAAGGACACAGAGAAGGCGGUCUUGAAGUGGCUGAUUGGUGCUAGGGACCGGGGGGGCAAUCGACAGGCCCGUCAGGCCAGAGAGGCAGCCCCUCAGGAAAUUUAAAUUGUGUUUUUUUUUUCCCCUCAGUGAUUUCUGUAAUAAAAACUUAGUUUUUAUUUUUUGUAAAUAGCAAUAAAAAGUAAUUGUAUUACUA